AAUGAACAGAAGCCGGUAGGAGUUUCAAGACUUUUUCCAAAGCCUUCGAGAUUUUUGUGUGAGACGCAAGAUUGCUGGCACGGAUUAACUUGGAUUCACUCAAAAGAAUUGGACUGGACAAUUUUGCUUGAGAAACUAGCAACGCCUCUGUAACCAGGGCAACCAAAACAGUGAUGAGAGGAGCAGAAGAAACAUCUCAAAUGACUAAUGCAAAGGUUGCAGAAAAGGUGCUGUUUUUUGCUGUUCUCCGGACGUGCUGCUGUUCUUUCGGUGGUGGAUCCAGAUCGGGAUUUGGUCAGCAAACUACUGCGGAUACGGAAGCAAAGACCGAGGUCCAGAUCACCCCAACGUUCUGGCUGAAGGUCCCAAGAAGGAGGGGGACGGAGCCUGCGUCGACUGGACCCUAUAAAUUGGUGGAGCACAUCUCACAUGCCGUCCGGCUGGCCGACAAAGGAGAUUCGUGGUAUCAUCUGUCCCAGUAAAGGGUUCCUGCAAGGAACCAGAUCAGCCAUCAACAGUCCCCGCCCCCAGUACAAACAGGGGCAGAAUAAUCUCCUUCCCCCUUGGUGGCCAGGUAGUCCACCCUGAGCCACUGAAGACAACGACCACGCAGCAGAUAUUUCCAAGUUCUCCCCGGACGGAGCAGAUCUGCGAAGGGGGUGAGAAUCGUGCUCACCCUCCACCAGUGGGCGUGCCAAGCCCCCAACGGCUGAACAAUCACGAGCAAUUUUUAUCUUGAUUGAUAACAUUCUGGUCGCCUAAGGCAGAGGGACCGUGUAACUCUUUUCCUGCAUUUAAUCUGGCCGCAGGUUUUUAAAUUACACACACAAUCUGGACUGGAGUAUUGAGGAAAAACCUCAUCGUCACUGGAAGUUAUUGCUUUCAUUGUAUUUUCUUACUUAUGUUUGACUGAUCGGGGUUGACAUAAUCAUAUGAUAAAACAGGAGGGAUAUGUUAGGGUUUGCAGAAUAUCUUCAUCGUAUGAUUAUGUUGGAAUAUAACCUGUAAUAAUUUAACUAGCUUGUCCUGUCUAGACAAAAGUAGUUGACCAAAGUGCUAAGAUCUUUUCAACUGAUUGACUAGACGCAGAGGAAGCAAUCAAAGUUGAUUUGUUUACAGAAAGUCGUAAAAGGCCCCCUGCUAUGCUUUGAUCAGCAGGGGAGCGUCUUCACCCUAUCCUGUGUGUUCCCACACCCCCACUUUCAACCCCACUCUGUUUCUCUCAAUAAAUAAGCACCUGACGAGGCCUGAGUCAGACCUCCAUUCGACCAUCGCUGUAAGCACAGCUAUGAAUGGACUCUCCGCCUGCAGGUGUUUGAAAUGACUUGCUUGACUCCAGUGUGGUUCUUGCAAAAUAAGUUAGAGUGAGCACCACCCUAACAAAAGACAAUUCAUAACGAGCGGCGUACACUAUCUAAACAGAACAGUAAAUACACGAUCUUUUUGGGAAAUGUUACCUGGGUCUGGCCUUGGCUUUCCAGCCAGCGGCAUCGAUUUUGGGUGUCCCUCAGGGUUUGGGACAUAGCACUAAGCUGGGCGGUGACAGCACCCUUCUCCUCUAUUGCUUGCUGUAGCUGUGGAUGGGGACAAGAACAUAAGAGGUUUGCCGCUCCGUUAUUAAUUCAGAAGACCAAACAAUGUGCUGAAACAUUUGCAGCACAACACAAAAUGAAAAAUAUGGCAGGAAGGUUAGUUCACAUUUGAAACAUUAAUAUUAUUCAUAUUUUAUAUCAGUUUAUCAGUAAACCACCAAUCAUGUUACCCCUCCUAGCAAUUAGAAUAGUAUGUAGAGGUGAGUUGUGUUGUGUCAUUAACUGUUUCAAACCUUUGAGUUAAGUUGCUGAAAGUACUGGUCUCGUUGCUGGAUGUCAUACAAGCAGAGUUGCAGCUCUCUGUGCAGCUGGACCCUCUCUGCUUCCAAUCGACUCACCGACUCUUCCAUUUCCUUCUGGCUUACCGGAUUCACCGUUUCCUAAUGAUUAUCCACAAAUAUUAACGGUGAUGAAUGGUUAACCAUAUUGUUAGGGUUUGCAGAAUAUCUUCAUCGUAUGAUUAUGUUGGAAUAUAACCUGUAAUAAUUUAACUAGUUUGUCCUGUCUAGACAAAAGUAGUUGACCAAAGUGCUAAGAUCUUUUCAACUGAUUGACCAGACGCAGAGGAAGCAAUCAAAGUUGCUUUGUUUACAGAAAGUCGUAAAAGGCCCCCUGCUAUGCUUUGAUCAGCAGGGGAGCGUCUUCACCCUAUCCUGUGUGUUCCCACCCCCCCACUUUCAACCCCACUCUGUUUCUCUCAAUAAAUAAGCACCUGACGAGGCCUGAGUCAGACCUCCAUUCGACCAUCGCUGUAAGCACAGCUAUGAAUGGACUCUCCGCCUGCAGGUGUUUGAAAUGA
This is a long non-coding RNA of Syngnathus typhle (broad-nosed pipefish), 2391 nucleotides long. RefSeq lists it as uncharacterized. The transcript is spliced from 2 exons. NCBI's taxonomy places the organism in Eukaryota, Metazoa, Chordata, Actinopteri, Syngnathiformes, Syngnathidae. The record is from RefSeq and is a predicted model, not a curated record.